Molecule: ribosomal RNA, 493 nt
Filed under: uncultured bacterium
Lineage: Bacteria
Description: partial 16S ribosomal RNA
Rfam family: Bacterial small subunit ribosomal RNA
Source: RNAcentral
GAGUGAACGCUGGCGGUAGGCCUACCACAUGCAAGUCGAACGGCAGCACAGUAAGAGCUUGCUCUUACGGGUGGCGAGUGGCGGACGGGUGAGGAAUACAUCGGAAUCUACUUUUUCGUGGGGGAUAACGUAGGGAAACUUACGCUAAUACCGCAUACGACCUACGGGUGAAAGCAGGGGAUCUUCGGACCUUGCGCGAUUGAAUGAGCCGAUGUCGGAUUAGCUAGUUGGCGGGGUAAAGGCCCACCAAGGCGACGAUCCGUAGCUGGCCUGAGAGGAUGAUCAGCCACACUGGAACUGAGACACGGUCCAGACUCCUACGGGAGGCAGCAGUGGGGAAUAUUGGACAAUGGGCGCAAGCCUGAUCCAGCCAUACCGCGUGGGUGAAGAAGGCCUUCGGGUUGUAAAGCCCUUUUGUUGGGAAAGAAAAGCAGCAGGUUAAUACCCCGCUGUUCUGACGGUACCCAAAGAAUAAGCACCGGCUAACUUCGUG